Non-coding RNA from Heterocephalus glaber (naked mole-rat), 876 nucleotides. Lineage: Eukaryota; Metazoa; Chordata; Mammalia; Rodentia; Bathyergidae. The record is from RefSeq and is a predicted model, not a curated record.
GCAACGGCCAUGGGUUCAAUUCCCAGUCCCACUACAAAUAAUAAUAACUAGUGAUAAAAGCAAAAGCAACUAAGACCCCUCAGCCCCGUUCCUGCACUGGGACAGAUGGCUGAGGGCACUAGAGGGACCAGCUGCCCUUGUAUUUAUUUAUUUUAUUUUUUUGGUGCCAGGGAUGGAACUCGCGUCCUUGCACUUGCAAGGCGGGCAGCGGCAGCACUGAGCUAAAUCCCUGGCCCUGCCCUUUUGUUUUAUCUCGCUCUCCCAUUUCUGGUGACGGAGCACACAGAGUCCACGUGUUACAGAAAAUGGCUCGCUCUUCAGCCUUGGUCACCGGGCGCAGAACAUGCAUUUCUGCCACACAGAUGCUGUCUUUCAAUGGAAGUUUAAAGAAAUAACAAAAGCGAAGUUGCCAUGGGGUGAGUAAUGACCCUGCUCUGCUUGCUGUGUGAUUAACGCUGUGGAAGCGACUCGCAUCUGAGGCCACACUGCUGGUGGUGCCAUGCUGCGUGGGCUUCCCGGUCAUUUCAGAGCUGACUUCCAGAGACCGCAGCCUCCUGGGCGAGGACUGGGCACUGCCACCUGCAGGCUGCUGCUCUGUUAGUGUCAGGGCCUCCAAAGCUGGAUGGGGCCAGAGGCAGGGGCCUGGGGCUCUAUCCUGCUGAAAAAGUCCAGUUUGGUUCAUUCUGUCCCAAAACAAAGGGAAAAGAGAUUCAAUGUGGGGAGAGGGUAAGGCAAGUAGGAAAAAGCACUUUUACUGAAAGAUGAAUACUGUUGGCUUUUUUUUUUUGGUACUGGGGAUUGAACUUGGGACCUUGCACUUGAGAGGCAGGCGCCAGAACCACUGAGCUAAAUCCCCGCCCCACUGUUGGCUUUUUA